This 253-nucleotide ribosomal RNA is filed under the name Faecalibacterium prausnitzii. RNAcentral describes it as "partial 16S ribosomal RNA". It matches the Rfam family "Bacterial small subunit ribosomal RNA", at positions 524 to 776 of the family's 1533-position model. The record is from RNAcentral. Lineage: Bacteria; Bacillati; Bacillota; Clostridia; Eubacteriales; Oscillospiraceae.
AACGUAGAUCACAAGCGUUGUCCGGAAUUACUGGGUGUAAAGGGAGCGCAGGCGGGAAGACAAGUUGGAAGUGAAAUCCAUGGGCUCAACCCAUGAACUGCUUUCAAAACUGUUUUUCUUGAGUAGUGCAGAGGUAGGCGGAAUUCCCGGUGUAGCGGUGGAAUGCGUAGAUAUCGGGAGGAACACCAGUGGCGAAGGCGGCCUACUGGGCACCAACUGACGCUGAGGCUCGAAAGUGUGGGUAGCAAACAGG